AUGGCCGGCCCUGACCUCCUCCGCCCAGAUCCAGGUCUGGCCAUCGUGGUCAUGGGGGUCAGCGGCUGCGGCAAAUCCUCUGAUGCCAAUUUUCUGUUCUGCCGCAGGACCGUGGCGGCGAUGCUCGCGGAGGCGCUGGGCUGCGGCUUCGUCGAGGCGGACGACUACCACUCCCAGACAAACAAAGAUAAGAUGAGCAGGGGCGUCCCGCUCACCGACGAGGACCGCCUCCCGUGGCUGGAGUCGCUGCGCGACGCCAUCCGGGACCGGCUGGGCCGCGGCGAGGACGUCGCCGUCAGCUGCUCGGCGCUGCGGCUAGGGUACAGGGAGGUGCUCCGAGAAGGUGAUCGGAACUACAAGCCAGGGAGCUACGGGUCCUGCAGGGUGAAGUUCGUGUGCCUGGAGGCGUCGGCGGAGGUGAUCGCCGAGCGAGUGGAGCGGAGGGCGGCGGAAGGGGACCACUUCAUGCCGGCGAGCCUGGUGCGGAGCCAGCUGGACCUGCUCGAGAUCGACGCGGCGGAGGGGAUCACCGUAGUCGACGCCACCGUGCCCGCCCACGCCAUCGUCGAAGCCACCAUCACCCAGUUCAGGGAGGAGCUGGCCUCGACGGCGCGCUGA
This 618-nucleotide ribosomal RNA is filed under the name Triticum aestivum (bread wheat). RNAcentral's name for it is "partial small subunit ribosomal RNA". The record is from RNAcentral. Lineage: Eukaryota; Viridiplantae; Streptophyta; Magnoliopsida; Poales; Poaceae.